Molecule: long non-coding RNA, 680 nt
Organism: Asparagus officinalis (garden asparagus)
Lineage: Eukaryota; Viridiplantae; Streptophyta; Magnoliopsida; Asparagales; Asparagaceae
Exons: 4
Source: RefSeq, a predicted model, not a curated record
CUUGUCUCUCUCUCCCGCUCGUCCCUCUCACUCCCUCUCUCUCUCGCUAGGGUUUCUCUUGUUCGAAAAAAAUGCGAUCAUAUCGAUAACAAUAAUGUAGUUUUGGAUGCGCAUCAGGUCUACCUUGAGUUUGAUGGUGCUUCAAGAGGAAAUCCUGGAAGAGCUGGUGCAAUAGCAGCGCUUAAGUCUAAAGAUGGAGCUGUGGUAGUUAAUCAACAUUACUCGAGUAUUUGAAGGUUUGGGCAUAGGUAUGGACAACAAUGCUCAAUACAGAGCACUAAUCAGAGGAUUGAAGACUGCUCUUAAUAUGGGCUAUGACGGGACCUGUGUGAGGGGGCACUUGAAACUUGUCUGUAAGCAGGUAAAUGGUGAGGAGCACAUUAGAAGCAAUAGAUUGGCCAGGUAUUGUGAUGAAACAAGGCAACUCAGUGAUCAAUUCAAAUAAUUCAGCAUGAGAUAUUGUCCAAGGUUAUGAACAGUGGCUGCCUCUACAUUCAUAGUUUUUUUGGGUGCUCUUGCUUAUGUUAACAGCAACAGAAUUUUGAACUUUUAAGUUUUCUCUUGGUAAUGCGUUGAAAAUAAUUAGUUUUCCUCUUUAAUUUCCUCACUACUAGAAAACUACUGGAAACCAUAAAUUGUCUAUAAUUUUUUAUUAUAACUUUUGUUGCUAGUAUCUAAAA